UACAGAGGGGGCAAGCGUUGUUCGGAAUUACUGGGCGUAAAGGGCGCGUAGGCGGCCUGUUAAGUCGAACGUGAAAUCCCCGGGCUCAACCCGGGAACUGCGUCCGAAACUGGCAGGCUCGAAUUCGGGAGAGGGAUGCGGAAUUCCAGGUGUAGCGGUGAAAUGCGUAGAUAUCUGGAGGAACAUCGGUGGCGAAGGCGGCAUCCUGGACCGAUAUUGACGCUGAGGCGCGAAAGCCAGGGGAGCAAACAGG
This 253-nucleotide ribosomal RNA is filed under the name uncultured bacterium. RNAcentral's name for it is "partial 16S ribosomal RNA". It matches the Rfam family "Bacterial small subunit ribosomal RNA", at positions 524 to 776 of the family's 1533-position model. The record is from RNAcentral.